GCCGGUAAAGAGGAGAGGGGGGUUGGAGAGAAGGGGAGCAAGUGCUGCAAGAGGUUGGGGUGUCAGGGUGUGGAGUGAGAAGAAGGCCAGCACCUGGGGCCGAGGGACAAGGCAGAAAAAAAGAAAAAAAAAAAAAAAGAACCGCACAAAACAGGCAGAGUGACCUUCCCAUUGGCAAAUCGAAGUCCUCGGGAUAUCUCUAUCCUAACCCAAGCCACACUGGAAUACUUCACAAUCUGACUUCCCCGUGUGAUCUGACCUAUGCUGUUCUCGAUAUCCUCAUCCCUAUCUCUGCCUGACAAAGCAUCCUAAUACCUGGGGUAAUGGUGUUGCUUCAUGUUGCCAGGGCACAAUCAUUUACUGGAAGAAGCAGCUGUGAGUGAAAGUUCACCAUUUCACUCUGAGCUCCAAAGAAGCGCUUUAACUUGUACAGUGAGAUGUCAAGAUACUAAUGAUUCCUUGUUCUUGGAGAAUGGGGAUUGUGACACCAAAGGUGACUUGUCUCAUCAAAAUACAGCAGGGUUCCUCUCUGGCCUGAGGGAGGAUUAUGACUUGAAACUCCAAAGACAACCCCAAGUCAGUGUGUGGGCAGCAUAUGAACUCCUCUGGACUCCAACAAAACAAACAGAAUGAAGAUGCUCUUCCAAAGCCCGUUGAGGGCUCAUACUCCCUAUCAGAAAGCAGUAGCUCUCACCUUCCUUGUGUACUAUCAAAAGAGCUGGGUCUCAUGAUGCUCAGGAGGAUUUCACUCUAACUUAACUUUGAAUUCCAUGUUUCUUACUGGUAUUCAAUGGUAGCCUUGAUUAGAGACCCACCCCUCUUUUCAUAUCCUGCUUGUGGUUAUUCCUUAGUUUGAUGGCAUAAGCAUCUGGGAAUAUUCCUAUGACCUUCU
Peromyscus eremicus (cactus mouse) is the source of this 892-nucleotide long non-coding RNA. RefSeq lists it as uncharacterized. The transcript is spliced from 3 exons. The record is from RefSeq and is a predicted model, not a curated record. NCBI's taxonomy places the organism in Eukaryota, Metazoa, Chordata, Mammalia, Rodentia, Cricetidae.